UUUUCCCGUAGCAACGUAAACCACGAUCCCCCCUUAACCACGUCUGAGAAAAAAAAAUAGGGGCUAAAUUCCUGACCCCCGCAUUAUUAAACCCAUCUGUCCAUUCUCCUUUGUGCCUUUUUGUUUUUUUAUCCUAAUUCCGUUCAGCAGUUCCCUAUCUCCGCGUGCCAUCCGCAACCAGCACUGCUCCAAAACAGAUAGAAGGGGCGCCCUGCCUGGGGUUGCGCUGCAGAUGGAUAGCGCGAUUGCGCCGCCGUCCAUGGCGCCGCCGCUCCCCAAGCCUGAGUUUUCCGUCCAGUCUCCGUGGUGCUCCGUUCUGGUAAGGUUGCCUACCUAGGUCGCUUGUUGAUUUCCCCUGAUCUACGAUGUCUCUCCAUAUCCAGAUCUGCACAACACAGCUUGGUUCCUGGUGAUUAAAGGGGCAGCAUCGAUUCGCGGUAAUUAACCAUGUACCAUGGCUUUUGGCAGAUCCAAUAGAGUAGUCGUGCCACUGUGGUGCCAAGGUGGAUCGGAGUUGUUGAUUUUGACGAGGAUGGAGUAGAUCGUUGGAGUUGCUUUCUCUCCCAUGCAGGAUAUCCACCGUUGUAGUGUCCUUGACAGAUUGUCAGCCUUUGCUUUUUCUAAGAAAUCUCCUGAGUCUGCGGUAGUAGAGAUCCUGUAUCAGUUAUUCUUCAAAGGAAGAUCGACAGGAUUGAUCAAGUGGAUAUAUCUUCUAUUCUUGCUGAGUGCCAGGUUUAUAUUGAAGGUCAAGAUGGUUUCACUCGAAGUUUUGAAAGAACUGGAGCAUAGGAAAUUCAAUCCUGCUUAAGAUAUGGACAACAUUUUAUGACCAAUUGUUGCAGAAAAAAAGCACAUUGCAAGACAUAUUAGAUAUUACGCAUAUGUCUGACAUGCUAUUGAGAUUAGGAAAACAGUGGAUGAUUGGAGUGAGCACAGUCCAUGAUAAAUUAGUCAUAUAUGUUUGAUUUCUAUUUUUUCUAUUUGAUGUAUUAGUCAUAGAUGACCCUUGUAACUGAAAUUGCCUGUCUAAUAAGAUCAUUUUCGAUUUCAGUGAACA
Molecule: long non-coding RNA, 1057 nt
Organism: Panicum hallii
Lineage: Eukaryota; Viridiplantae; Streptophyta; Magnoliopsida; Poales; Poaceae
Exons: 5
Source: RefSeq, a predicted model, not a curated record